CCUACGGGUGGCAGCAGUCGAGAAUCAUUCACAAUGGGGGAAACCCUGAUGGUGCGACGCCGCGUGGGGGAAUGAAGGUCUUCGGAUUGUAAACCCCUGUCAUGUGGGAGCAAAUUAAAAAGAUAGUACCACAAGAGGAAGAGACGGCUAACUCGGUGCCAGCAGCCGCGGUAAUACAGAGGUCCCAAGCGUUGUUCGGAAUCACUGGGCGAAAAGCGUGCGGAGGCUGUUUCGAAAGUCGUGUGUGAAAGGUGCGGGCUCAACCCGCGGACGGCACAUGAUACUGCGAGACUAGAGUAAUGGAGGGGGAACCGGAAUUCUCGGUGUAGCAGUGAAAUGCGUAGAUAUCGAGAGGAACACUCGUGGCGAAGGCGGGUUCCUGGACAUUAACUGACGCUGAGGCACGAAGGCCAGGGGAGCGAAAGGGAUUAGAUACCCCUGUAGU
RNAcentral lists this ribosomal RNA (445 nucleotides) under uncultured bacterium. RNAcentral describes it as "partial 16S ribosomal RNA". It matches the Rfam family "Bacterial small subunit ribosomal RNA", at positions 338 to 794 of the family's 1533-position model. The record is from RNAcentral.